AAAAGUUUCCAGAUACAUUCUCCUUUGCCCUCUGUGAUGACACUGGAAUGUGGUGUUAUCGUUGCCAUGUUGCCGAUCCUGGAGCUGCUACUGAGGAGGUUAGGCAUUUUGCCCUUGCCCAAGGUCGUGUAGCAAAUAAGUGAUAUCUUUUAGCCAGGUCUUCUCUCUCUAAAGUCCCACUCUUUCUCCUACUCUUUUCCCUCUAAAAUGUGCCAAAAAGCAAUUUUAUUUGUUUAAAGAUAAAGUACUUUUCAGUCCUCCUAAUGAAUUUGAUCAUGUGUAAGCUUUAAAAGAAAUAAGGAAAUGAAUUCCUAUCAUUUGAAGGAGUGAGCCGUGUUGGUAGGGCCAACUCUUUGCAGAUCAGUAAAUUAUCUUAGGUCAUCUCAUUCCUUAGCUUUACCUCUUUGCCUCCCUGCCAUGGGAGGAUAAUGAUGUCCUAGUUUGUGAAGGGCUCUCCAGUAUAGGAUGGGCAAGGGAGGGAUGUCUCAGGUUCAUCAGGAUUGCUACUUUCUUAGUGUUUCUGGGUGUGAGAUUUGAAAGUAAACUGUUUAACAAAGCUGGCUUUCUAUAGGAAUUUUUUUCCCCAAAUUUCAGCCAUUUGUGGUAGCUCUUUGUUUGUUUUAAUCCAGAAUCAAAAAAGAGGAGGUGGCUGUAGUGUUGCCCAAGCAGAGACUGAACAUGACCUGCUUUGACUGCUACAAUGUAAUUCACCCAUGUCUCCAUCCCCAUCUUUGGCGUGUUCUGAAGACUCUCAUAAUGGAAUGGCACAGGGCUGCUUCUCCAUCUUUACAGGAUACAGAGAAUGAUCACCAUGAUAAGUUCGGUUAACACCCAUCACCUCACAUACCAAGAUCUUUUGGAAGGAAGAACAGAUAUCUUGAAUUUCUUAUUGGAAUGCUGGGCUGUUUCUUAUUUUUCCCAGAAGGAUCGAGCAUUGUAAAUCCACCCGCGUAAAUCCAGGAAACUUUACCUCGCAAGCAGGACUCUGGCUUCUGUUGGAGUUGAUCAGCUACCACUGCUGGUGGAGAAGACCGUAUCAGACAUUAAUGAACGAUGUAAAGAAGGAAAAGAAAGUGAACGACCACGUCCUUACCACCCAGGUUAAAAAAUCAGGGAAUUGCCAGGGUCUUAGAAGCGCCACUCCCGUUGGUCCCAGAGCUCUUUGCUCCCCCAGAGGGGGAGCCUCAGGAGCUGUUGCCAACCUGGUCUCCAAACUCGCUGUACCAUUUUGUGUCUCCUCCAGCAAGUGUGAGAGAUCCAGCUGCCCCACAUCGUCACCAAGACUCGGCAUGGUCUGUCUUUUUAAUUUCAGCCGUUCUGGUUUACUGACAGUUUGGAAAUCCUCUUUUGUGAAGUAACCGAUUGUGGGUCUUCUAUAAAAGGAUAUAAGUCAAGAACAGCCAGAUGAAAGAGAUGCUCCAGGGCCAGGUGUGGGGAAAGGGUGCAGAGCUUCCGUGCCCUCUCCGGGCACGCCACUCUCCCAGCACCGCUACGUGUUCACCAACCUCGGAACUGGUGCGGGAUUUUCUGUUCUGGUUCUUUCAUAAUACUCUGAGCAUCUGCAUCUACACCAGGGUUGACGGUUGUGCUUAGCAGGAAGGAACAGGUCUAUGCUAUCUUGUCCGGACUGGAAACCUCUAUUUUUUAACCAUCAAUGCCUCUCAGGUCUGACCUCAGACCCAAGCCUCUGUGAACUCUUCCACCAUCAGUGCUACUCUAGUCUGUCCUCGAACGCGGGUUUCUGUCAGUUCACCGCCAGUGCCCGUCUUUUAUAUAUCUUCAACUCCGGCCUCUGCGAGCUCUGCUACCAUCCACGCCCUUCUGGUCUGUAACUCAGAACCACGCCUCUUUCACCUUGACCACCGUCAAUGGCAUAUUGUGUAGAAUCGUGCCACCAGAUAUGGCAGAUGCUAGCCACGUGUAGCUACUGAGCACUUGAAAUGAGGCUAAUGAGACUGAGAAUUGAAUUCUAAAUUUUAUUUAUUUUAAUUAAUUAAAAAUUUAAAAUAGGUGCUCAAUUCAGUUAUUGGAAACCUUUUAAACUAUUUUUGGAACAACUCGUGACUAUUAAUCUACAUUUUCAACUGUAAAUUUUAAGAAAUCUAAAUACAAAUCAAGUAUUUCCGAUGAAAAUUUAGCAUUCAAAUUGAGAUGUAUUGUGAGUGUAAAAUAGACGUCUGAUUUCAUAGACUAAUUACAAGAAAAAGAAUGCCAAAUCCCAUUAAUAAUUUAAAAAAUUGAUUACAUGUUGAAAUGAUAAUGUUUUGGAUAUGUGG
Molecule: long non-coding RNA, 2276 nt
Organism: Equus asinus (donkey)
Lineage: Eukaryota; Metazoa; Chordata; Mammalia; Perissodactyla; Equidae
Source: Ensembl